UGGGGAAUAUUGGACAAUGGGCGAAAGCCUGAUCCAGCCAUGCCGCGUGUGUGAAGAAGGUCUUCGGAUUGUAAAGCACUUUAAGUUGGGAGGAAGGGCAUUAACCUAAUACGUUAGUGUUUUGACGUUACCGACAGAAUAAGCACCGGCUAACUCUGUGCCAGCAGCCGCGGUAAUACAGAAGGUGCAAGCGUUAAUCGGAAUUACUGGGCGUAAAGCGCGCGUAGGUGGUUUGUUAAGUUGGAUGUGAAAUCCCCGGGCUCAACCUGGGAACUGCAUUCAAAACUGACUGACUAGAGUAUGGUAGAGGGUGGUGGAAUUUCCUGUGUAGCGGUGAAAUGCGUAGAUAUAGGAAGGAACACCAGUGGCGAAGGCGACCACCUGGACUAAUACUGACACUGAGGUGCGAAAGCGUGGGGAGCAAACA
This 427-nucleotide ribosomal RNA is filed under the name uncultured bacterium. Its description in RNAcentral is "partial 16S ribosomal RNA". It matches the Rfam family "Bacterial small subunit ribosomal RNA", at positions 355 to 774 of the family's 1533-position model. The record is from RNAcentral.